UGGGGAAUAUUGGACAAUGGGCGAAAGCCUGAUCCAGCCAUGUCGCGUGUGUGAAGAAGGUCUUCGGAUUGUAAAGCACUUUAAGUUGGGAGGAAGGGCAUUAACCUAAUACGUUAGUGUUUUGACGUUACCGACAGAAUAAGCACCGGCUAACUCUGUGCCAGCAGCCGCGGUAAUACAGAGGGUGCAAGCGUUAAUCGGAAUUACUGGGCGUAAAGCGCGCGUAGGUGGUUUGUUAAGUUGGAUGUGAAAUCCCCGGGCUCAACCUGGGAACUGCAUUCAAAACUGACUGACUAGAGUAUGGUAGAGGGUGGUGGAAUUUCCUGUGUAGCGGUGAAAUGCGUAGAUAUAGGAAGGAACACCAGUGGCGAAGGCGACCACCUGGACUAAUACUGACACUGAGGUGCGAAAGCGUGGGGAGCAAACA
This 427-nucleotide ribosomal RNA is filed under the name uncultured bacterium. RNAcentral describes it as "partial 16S ribosomal RNA". It matches the Rfam family "Bacterial small subunit ribosomal RNA", at positions 355 to 774 of the family's 1533-position model. The record is from RNAcentral.